This is a long non-coding RNA of Sesamum indicum (sesame), 549 nucleotides long. RefSeq lists it as uncharacterized. The record is from RefSeq and is a predicted model, not a curated record. NCBI's taxonomy places the organism in Eukaryota, Viridiplantae, Streptophyta, Magnoliopsida, Lamiales, Pedaliaceae.
GGAAAGAAUUAAAAGAAGAGCCCAUAAAAGUAGUGGAUUACUGAACAAAGUAGAAGCUUCCGGGAAUAACGGGCCAAAAUUAAAUUACACUAUUAUAAGGACAUCCCUGCACACACGUCUCUUUUAAACAUCAGCAAGAAUCCUCUAGAGUUAGGUAUCUCUCUCGCAUAUGAUCAAGCAGCGUCCCAGCCUAUUUAACUUCUUGAUGUUGCUGGUGAAGAUUCACAGACUAUGUGCUAAAGUUUUUGUCUGAACAUAAAUCUUUGUUAAUCGUGUUACUAAUGAACUAAUCAAAAGCCACCUACGUUAUAAGAUUUCGAGAUAAAUUUUCUUCUAUCAAUACAAUAUGUUGAAUAAAUAUUUUUUAAAAUAAUAAUCUUAUAAAAUAUGUUUGGUUGUAAUAUUAGCAUGCAAGGUCAUAUGAAGUAAAGCAUUCCUACAGCUUCUUUGCAGGUAAGCUCUUUGAACAUGUAUACUUUGUUAAUCAAGUAGCAAACAUAAGGUUCAGGACAAAAUUCUGAUACAAAGCAAGUUAUUGAAAGUGAAAGU